This 253-nucleotide ribosomal RNA is filed under the name uncultured bacterium. Its description in RNAcentral is "partial 16S ribosomal RNA". It matches the Rfam family "Bacterial small subunit ribosomal RNA", at positions 524 to 776 of the family's 1533-position model. The record is from RNAcentral.
UACGGGGGGGGCAAGCGUUGUUCGGAAUUACUGGGCGUAAAGGGCGCGUAGGCGGUUGGAUAAGUCAGCUGUGAAAACCACGAGCUCAACUUGUGGCCUGCAGUUGAAACUGUCUGGCUAGAGUGUGGGAGAGGGAAGUGGAAUUCCUGGUGUAGCGGUGAAAUGCGCAGAUAUCAGGAAGAACACCCGUGGCGAAGGCGGUUCUCUGGGACGGUACUGACGCUGAGACGCGAAAGCGUGGGGAGCGAACAGG